AUGCUCCAGUUCCCAGUUGAACCACCCCAGAUUCCAGUAAGAACAUCAGGGAAACAAAGAGCACUCUUUGCAAGAUGGACUCUUCUAGAGAAGAUGAUUGGCCAAUGGGCUGUGACGACAAAAGUCAGAAAUUGUAGUCCUUUGGGAUAUCUCAUCUUGUUAGGAUCAUCAUGGUCUCCUCAGGCUGAAAUUCAUGAGUCUCCAAAUCCCUCAGCACCUAAUUCUUCAUGAGAUUAGAGCAGUUAAUAUUGAGAAUGUUGCAAUUCCGUGAAUAAAUAGUUUCUGUUUCUGUAUUGGAAUUUCCUGUUUUCUGCACCUGGUUUGGAUGUUUGGCUUACUUGCAUAAGAAUGUACAUGUGUAGCUUGGGAUUCAACUCAGAAAGGGACUUUUAGAAAAGUCUAAGGUGGCUCCGUGACGCAAUGGAUAAUGCAUUGAACUUCUAGAAAAAUCGAAAGUCAGAGGGGACUAUGGUCUAUGUGAGUACACUUUUUAAAGCAUCCCUUUCGUUAGCUAUCAAGGCACAAGCACUGUUUUCUAAGGAAAGUUACCACAAACAACUACAAUAUAAACUGCAAAAGAAGUAGAUGUGGACAUAAUUAAGCAAGUUUUUAUUUUUGAUUGAUAUAUAAUUUGAAACUCUU
This 642-nucleotide long non-coding RNA is filed under the name Callithrix jacchus (white-tufted-ear marmoset). RNAcentral describes it as "lncRNA (ENSCJAG00000079376.1)". The record is from RNAcentral. Lineage: Eukaryota; Metazoa; Chordata; Mammalia; Primates; Cebidae.